CAGGUGCAUGCCUCUAGCAUGAAGUCAGACAA
Molecule: ribosomal RNA, 32 nt
Filed under: Symbiodinium sp. PtIsK1-6
Lineage: Eukaryota; Dinophyceae; Suessiales; Symbiodiniaceae
Also listed under: 1 other name
Description: partial 28S ribosomal RNA
Source: RNAcentral